This 508-nucleotide ribosomal RNA is filed under the name uncultured Bacteroidota bacterium. Its description in RNAcentral is "bacterial SSU rRNA". It matches the Rfam family "Bacterial small subunit ribosomal RNA", at positions 1 to 500 of the family's 1533-position model. Lineage: Bacteria; Pseudomonadati; Bacteroidota. The record is from RNAcentral.
CGGCCGCAGAGUUUGAUCAUGGCUCAGGAUGAACGCCAGCGGCAGGCUUAAUACAUGCAAGACGCGGGGCAGCAGGGGUGUAGCAAUACACUCGCUGGCGACCGGCAAACGGGUGCGGAACACGUACGCAACCUACCCAAAACUGGGGAAUAGCCCGGGGAAACCCGGAUUAAUACCUCGUAACACCAUGAAGUGGCAUCACUAUAUGGUUAUAGCUCCGGCGGUUUUGGAUGGGCGUGCGCCUGAUUAGGUAGUUGGCGGGGUAGCGGCCCACCAAGCCUACGAUCAGUAACUGGUGUGAGAGCACGACCAGUCACACGGGCUCUGAGACACGGGCCCGACUCCUACGGGAGGCAGCAGUAAGGAAUAUUGGUCAAUGGACGCAAGUCUGAACCAGCCAUGCCGCGUGAAGGAUGAAGGUCCUCUGGAUUGUAAACUUCUUUUAUAUGGGACGAAACCCGGGAAUUCCUUCCCGAUUGACGGUACCAUAGGAAUAAGCACCGGCUAA